CCUUCCUAAAACACAUUUUCUCAGGAAACUAGUCAUUAGCUGUAUCCAGCUUAGGAUAUGCUCUGUUCUGGCUCUAGAAGACAGAAAAGGAGAAAAGAAAUCAUACUUAUUUGGUUUUUUUCUUUCAGUUUCAACCUUUUUUUGACAGGUAGAAAAGAGAAAAAUAAUACUUCUUGCAUUUCCCAGGCAGGUAAGUUCCAAAGAAAGUCACUGUUUAAUAAGAGAGUCUUAUAACUUUGCUUCUACUUUAACACUGGGCUAGGAAAAGGAACAGAUAGGGGAAAUCCACUGUGGGUAUGUCAGAACUUGCUACUUAAUUUCUUCUUGGUGUGAACCAGGAGUUAGCCUUUGAUUUCUGAUGGAAUUGGACUUCCUAAUCUUUUAUCCUCUCAUUCUUUAGCUUUUUUUCACAUUAUUCUUGAUGUUUAUUAAGUUCCAAGGUAUCCUUUCCUUCUCAGCCAAUGUAAAGACUGAACAAUACAAUGGGAAUUAGAUUUAAAGAAAAAAAUCCUGGCACUAUGUUUCCAAGGUAAUUAUAUCCUAGAUAUAUUUAAUGUAAGGGCUAUAAACUCUGUUUUAAAGAAAGUUACAAUGAUGACACAACAAGAAAUUUUGUUAUUUUUAACAUGGGUAUUUUAGUUUUAGAAAGAUUCCACUCAAUGUUUCCCAAAUUUAAUGUUUCACAUAAUGGUCAGUCUUAAUAUGAAUGUGGGAAAAAAAGACAAGUCCAAACAUAGAAUAUUAUUUUCAAAAAAUAGUGAACUAAAUGUAAAGGUCCAGUAAAAUGUGAUAUCUAGAUUUUUCUGAGCUCGUUCACAUGACCUUCAUUCUAUUUAUAGAAAUGCAGCAAUUCCCAUUUGAAUAUAGAGCAAUACCUUGUAGGAGAAUUUGGUUUAGCACAAAUAAACUUGGGGAAAGUGUUGACUUAAAAAUAAAACACUGGAAGAGGAGGGAAGGUUUCUUCUUCCCCCUCUGUGAAAAUUUCCGGAAAAGUUGUAAACAAAUGCAGGUUUGGCUCAGAGACUGAAUGACUCUGGUGAGCUGAGGAGGAUGAAGAGUAUAUCAAACCUCCCAGAGUGAGGAAAUGUUUGUAAAACAGUUAGUAAAUCACAGGCGGCCAGGGUCACCAUGCUGAACAACUCGAAGGACACACAGCCAAAACCCCAGCUGUGAAAGAAGGGGGCCAGGCCCCGUUCACAGCUUGAACCCCAUUUUGAAUGAUCUCUUGGUUCCAUUCUCUGCCCUUUCCCCUCUGUCACGUCAGAGUUCCGACAACCACUCAUUUAAUUAGCCCAGGGCCACAGGCAGCGCUGUCUGUCCCUCUACCUCACAAGGUGAGGAUACCAGGACACUGAAAACGUUCUCUGCAAAGUGAUACUGAUUGAGCCUUUGGUCCUAGGGACAAAGCUGAAAGUUCCAGCUGGGAAGAAAGAAUCACACUCAACCUGGAAAAAAAAACAGUUUACAAAGAUAAACAGAAGACAAAGUAUGUAGCUGGAAGUUUCCAUGAAUUUUGAACUAUCUUUUCAAGCCCUUUUUGAUCACUGUUCUCCCUAACUAUUCUAUGAUACAUCUGUUAAUUAUUCUUUUCCUGAUUUUACACAGAUGACAAUGUGGAAACUGUUAAGUACUUCAUAAACUGUCUCUUUUGUGCCCCGACUGUCCCCCAGAAGUCAGGAAGACAAAAGUAAAAUAAAAUAAAAAUAGGAAUGAAGAACUGCUAAGGGAGAGAGAAGGGAAGAUGUACUCUGGAAGCCUCUUCUUAACGACUCUGCACAGAAGUUUCUUCCCGACUGGAUUUACACUUAGUUCUCUUCAUUAAUCUUCACUCUUCAAAAAUGAUUUUUUAAAGACUUCAUAUUCUUUCUUCACACCAAACUCAAUCUGCUCACUCAGAGAACAUUACUAUGGUAUGAAUGAAGGAUAAUUAUUGAUGGCUUAAAAUUAUUCUUGAAAAUGAGAAGUAUGGUGAUAAACAAAAGUUUAUUUUCCAAAUAUUGAAUGAAAAAGAGGUGUACGAGAUAAAAGCAAAUACCUAUUGAUUACAACCAACAGAGACUAAAGACAGGCACAGUAAGGUGCUUACAUUGGAAAAAAAAAAGUUUUGAAAUUAUAUGAAAAACGCUUCCCUUUUAGAUCCAGGAGGUACAAAAAAAAAUUUUUUUUUUCAAGAGAGAGGUGAUAAACACAGGCAUUAGCAAACUUCUCCAGUAAUCAUGUAUAAUUUAAUAUGAGUCCUGACUCACAACAGAGGAUGAAGACCACCCUAGUCUCAAUGCUGAUAUUAUAAAUAUAAACCUGCUUAGAGAAAAUUCAGUACCUUGAUUACCUAAAUUGAAACAGGACAGAUACAUAAGAGUCAGCUUUCCUGGUGAAAGCUAUGGACUUCAUACAAAUUAUUCAGGCUGUUUAUUCCUACUAUAGACACAUUACUUUUAUCUCUUUUGGAUACUUCCACCAUGUAAAAGCAACAGGGCAUGUGCUGUUGAGUUGUUUUUCUGGCCUGGCAUUGAGUCAGACACACUCUUAGCUCAUCUCUCACACUUUUGUCAUAAUGGCAGGCCAAUGUGAUGCCAUAUAAUUCUCAGUUUUGCUUUGCAAAAAAUUAACUUAGCCCAUCCAGAGAUCAAACAAAAUUUGGGACCCAAAGCAUUCUUAUUCUAACUAAUGGAAUAAUUAGCCCAGAUAGCCUAGAGCAGAAAAACAAGAAAAAUCAAGGAAAGUAAACUCUGUUGAGAGCUCUAGUAAUGCUUUGAGUAAUACUUCAAGGCAUUUGAGAAAAGCCUGGGUUUUGAAGCCAGAUCUGGAAUCAAAUAUUGAUUUCAAUCUUUUAAGCUGUGUUAGACUGGGCAAGCUAUCUCAGACAUCAUCAGUUUCCUCAUCUGCAAAAUGGAGAGAAAAAAAUCACUACCUACUAGGAGUCCUGGUAGAAUGAAGUGUGUUACUUCUGAAAGUACCCGGAAUGGUGCCUGCCACAUUAAAAACUACUAAAAAAUGUCAGUUUCCUUUUUCCAAUUCUCCCCUCAUUUCACUGGAGAAUACAGAAAAGCCUUUCUUUAAAAGUCCAUGGCUUUUUCAGGCAGAACAUGAAAUGUACUUCAUGAAGGGGGCCACAGCAUUCUCUCUCACCAUUAACCACAACUUGGGCAAACUCGCCAGGACCUCAAGUCUCUCACCUCCUCUAGCACCACAUCUGUUAUAGUCUAAGUCAAAAGGACUCGGUUAAGCCUCAAGGAAGAGAGUGUCCCCCCAGUAAUAAAUGGACUUGACUCAACCUUUGGAUAUUUAGCUAUUUAAACAUGUUGCUCACAGCUCAUGUUCUCAGCUUGAGGAAUUCCUCUUGGAUCCUUUCUCCAGUGGCAAUGGAAGAUUUGCACAUUACAUUCCUUGCCCCCUUAUUCAGCUGGCAAGUCAGAUAAAAUAAAAAUAAAUUCAGAACAAAUACACACACAUACACAUGCUUCAGUGCUAUUGUGAGUCAGACAAGUAUGUGAUUAAUACAGGAUGGAAGUAUGAUUUUCGUUCAUAAGGCUCCUCCCUCUAAUUCUGAUACUGGUAGAUAUUUGCAAAUGUCAGUCUGCAUUUCAGAAGAAAUACUGCUGUCAUGUUAGAUUUUACGUUUAGGUUAAAUUUCAACUUAAUUUUUUAAAAGCAAGAUCUCAUAAUUUUAGCAGCGCUAACAGACAACUGAAUAAUGACUUAAAAUUUUUUUACCAUAUGUCCUCUUAUGCUCUGCCUGGUAGAUGGGUAAAUAGUACUUCCUGAGUAAGGAUCAAAGACAAAUACUUGUCCUCGGAGCUUCUCUUUGACUUUAAAAUCCUAUGUGAGGGGUUUUUGUGGUCUAGAAUUUUCCAAUUCUGUUUGGAAUUUCAGCACUUGAGUAUUAGCUCAGAGAAGUGUCUUCAUAGAAAGAAUUAUAAAUUCAGUCUACCUGUACCUGGCCCCAUAGGUGUGGCAAAGAAAAAAAACCCAAAUAUUGGCUGAAACAGAAACAGGGUAAUACCAAAAAGAUAAUACUGUUAUGAGAGCUGGUGAGUCAGCCAAACAACUGAAGAUAUCAUACCACCACCCUAGUUGAGAAUUAAAAGAAAUUCGCUCUACUUCUAAAGCCCCUCUACUAGGAAUGGUUGGCUGCAAAGGAUCAGGAUCCAGGAGGCUAACAUUUCCACAUCAGCUCUGCCAUUGAUUUUCUGUCUGGCCUUGGGCAAGGUGAGGACCUCUUCUGAAGCUCAGGUUCCUCUACUGUGAAAUGAAGAUAGUCUCUCUCACACUAAAUUGAUAUGGCUAUAAAAUGAUAAAGAUGAUAUGCUUUGUCAACAGUAAGUGCCAUAGGGAUGUUAGCUGUUACUAUUAUCCAAUGAUAUGCUGACCAGUAGGGCCAGAAUGAUAGGCUAACUGACUGAUUUUAUUAAUCCAAUUCGCAUUCAUUCAAACUACUUUGACUCCUUCUGAUACCUCAAACAAGCUGUGCUGACCUAAAUAAAACUUUUAUCACUAAGUCAACAGUAAAUUCUAAGGUUUUUUUGUUUUUGAAAGGGAGUAUAAGAAAUGAAGGGCCUUCUACUCAAACUGGCUUAGACAGGAUGCUGUAGUUAGUUUUGUUACAUUUUUCCCAAGCAUGUUUCUAUUUAAAAUCAUCCUUUUGCAUUAUUCUGGAAGAGAGGGUAACUCUUAUCUCAUCUAAAAUUGGUGUUUCCAAUUUCCUUAUAUAACAAGGCUUGAAUGUUGUGGAGGAAGUAGGCAAAAACUAAGGAACCAAGAAAGAUCAAAAAGCAAGAGACCUAUAACCUAUAAGGUUAAGAGGUUAUGACCCUAGGCCCUGAAGUAAGGUGGAAGUCUAGAAAGAUGUUUUCAGGUACUUUUAAGCAACUAACUUUACAGGACUUUUUGAAAACGGAUAGAGAUAGGAUCUAAUGCUUACAAUAACAUUACUGGCAUGGAGACACUUAGAAAGAUCAUAGAGAUCUCAUCAAAAUUAACCUGUCAUUGUUUCUGAGGAAGGGGCUAUAGGAUUAGUAAUUCAUUACUGUUUGCCUUCACUGUUUAAAAUCAACAUUUGUCCAUACUGAAAGUAUUUCUUUUGACUUACAUAUCAUGGUUAUUAUCCUAGUCCUAAUAAACCUUUGGCAAAGCAGUCAGGCCACAGAUUAGAAGAAUAGAUAUGAUUACAUAACCACAUUGAAACACAUGCACAUCUAAACAAUGGUGUCGAUCAUAUCCUAAAUUUGUCUUGGUACUAUUUGCCUUUAAAACAAGAGAGGAAAGUGGCAGUCAUAUAGUGUCAAGAUGUCACUGAUUAACACCACAUACUGGUCUCCUCUCUCUGUUUCUCUAACAUUUGAUAGGGAAGUAGUUAUAGCCAUGGCAGGAUGGAGAGGAAGAGUAAGGCUGGCUGGUGUCAUAUACAUUCAGUUCAACAGAACAGAUAUAAACGUAUGUCUUAUAUGGUUGCACAUGGUACACAAAUGGCUAGAAGAGGAAGAGAAAAUGGAAGGAAAAACUAUCUUCCUGGUAUAUCCUAGCAAGACCAUAAUGAAUUGUAGAGUGGGAAAGUUUUAAGAAACAUAAAAAGAAGAUACAGAGCUACUUUAAAGUCAGAAGCCUCUACCAAAUACUUUUCUUCACUAUAAACUACAAAAUGAAGAAAAAUAUUUGUUUCCAUUAUAUAUCACUAGUAACCAAAGUAUGAUAAAAAUAUAUUCAAAAGUCUUUGGAGUUUGUAAACAUAUAUUAGAGACCUUAGUCAUCAAGGAAGAAUCAGUGAUUUCUAAGUAUCAUUACCUUAAAAGCUUUAGAAGCAUGUACCUUUCAAACUUCCAAUUAUGUUAAACUAAUCUGCAUCAAUCUAAGGAAACAUUUAGAUACUCAGAGUCAGGAAAUUAAGCCACUAGUUCUUAAAUUCUGAGCACACUUCUAAGCCUCAGUCUUGCUUUUAUACUUAAAGUUUGUAGAUAAAUGCUAGGAAGAUGUUGGAGAUGAACUGAACAUGUAUUCAAGUUAAAUAGAUUAACCAGAAGUAAGUGCACAGAAACUUUUUAAAAAGGGCUGGGUACCGGCACAGAAAAUAGCAGGGAUAGCAAUGACAAUUUGUCAGAAACCCCUUUGCCAUACUCUCCAUCUCCUAUAAAACAUAACUGAACUGGCGUGUAAAUUAAGGUAAUAAAAAGCCCCCCCCCUCAAAAAAUUCAACAUUAAGCGACUGUAGGUAUUCUAGAAGAAAACAUCUAAAUGAGACAAUGAUUUCAAAAUCAGCAUUUCCUGUACCUUAUUUAAAUUUCCCAUCAGCAAACAUCGACUAGACACUCGUAUGUGCAAGACUCUGUGGAUACAAAUGAGUAAGACCUAGUUUUCUUGCCCUCCGAAUGCUUAACAUCUGGUAAGUACUACAUACACAGAGAGGAUAGACUCCUGACACAUUCUUAGCACACUUACCUUAUUACUUAUCCAUGGAAAUAACCUGACUAAAACAUCAUCUAGAAACCACCAGAAUAUCUAAUAAAAUGUUGAUGCUUGAGAAACACUUGCUUUGAUCCUCUAGGGCUACAGACCAGAGUGGAAAGCAAGCGCAGUUACAGAGUAAAUUGGGGUGUAUCUGGGAUCAGCAGAUGGCACUGAUGAUCUCAGGCUUCUAUAGCUCUUUACCCAGCUUGGACUAGCGCUGUUCUUCCUAAGCCCCGGGUCUGUAUGUAUGCAUGCCUGACUAGGGGUCCACCGCAUCCACCAGCUACACACCCUACCUUUGUGACCUCCACUACUCUGGCGGGAAGAUGAGAGGAAGUAUCUCAGAUGAUCACUACAAGUUCCUUCUAGUUGUUACAUUCCAUGAGUAAAGCUAAAAUGUUUGUUUCAGGUGGAUCAUUACAAGAAGGAAAAAGCAUUAUUUAACUUCUGUGUCAGACUAGCAUUCUCUAAGACAACGUCUCCAUUUUGGCAAAAGACCCUAAUUUAUGUCUCUUUAUGGAUUCCAAUAGCAUGAGCUCAUCCUACACCUAAAAAAAUGUAUUCAUUAUGUAAGCUUUCCCUUAAGCAAAUAUAAGGCUGGAGAGGAGGAAAGUGCUGCUUGCCAUUCAAUUUGGCUUCAGCAGAACUUCCCAUUAUUAGGGAGGAGGCUGCCCAUUUCUAGAUAAUGAGAACAAAUUUUUCAUCGUCAUUGUGGUGUCUUUUAUUUCACUAUGUCACUCUGGAAGAGUUUGAAAGUCAUAUACUCUCCACCUUUGCCUCUUGUAGCAACAACAGGUUAUAAAAAUAAUACUUUGUCUCAUGGUAUGCAACCUUAAGAUGAACUCAGGAAAAUAGUAUUCGUUUUUCUGUUGGAUAUAUUAGAUGUGCAAUAACGAUGUACUAUAAAGCAAAUCAAAUUACAAAAAUGAACCCUAUCCCUUGGAUAAAGUUCUGGGAGUGAGCCAACACCACAAUUAUUAUCUUCUCUAGCAUUGAAUGUUCUACAUAAGUGUUUGGAAGAUGUAAACAGGAUAUAAAUCUGAGAUCGGGAGAGAACAGGUCUGAACUCUAGUCA
This is a long non-coding RNA of Herpailurus yagouaroundi (jaguarundi), 7516 nucleotides long. RefSeq lists it as uncharacterized. The transcript is spliced from 4 exons. The record is from RefSeq and is a predicted model, not a curated record. NCBI's taxonomy places the organism in Eukaryota, Metazoa, Chordata, Mammalia, Carnivora, Felidae.